RNAcentral lists this long non-coding RNA (1321 nucleotides) under Canis lupus familiaris (dog). Its description in RNAcentral is "lncRNA (ENSCAFG00030005136.1)". Lineage: Eukaryota; Metazoa; Chordata; Mammalia; Carnivora; Canidae. The record is from RNAcentral.
UUGUAUCUAGGUAUUGAUAAAGAAGUCAAAACAUUUAAAUAAAAGUGAAUGACUUAGUCAACAAAAGAAUGCUUAUCGUGCAGUGUUAUGCAGCAUAUAUUUUAGUAUAGGAAUUGUUAAUAGACAGUAUUCAGGUAACAGAAAAGUACAUAAACCUAUUUGUACAUGAAGCCCUUGAAAUAAAAAAUAAUCAGUUCACGAAACUUUCAUGUUUUAAAAUAACAUUUAAUGGCGAAUUUUGUUCUACCACGUUAGAAAUGGUUUAUUUUAGCUUCACAUCUAUGAUUUUUGUUAUUAUCUCUAUAGAAAAUUCUAGAAAAGUAAAGGGUUGUGUGUAUACAAAAUGAGUUAGAAAAGAAUUCAUCUUCCUGAGCUAUAUGAAAUGAUGUAUACAACCAACACAUGUGAGCCAAAGCAGAAAUUCUGAAACUAUUUUUUUUUAAUUUUUAUGUAUUAAUUGUGCAGUGCAGUUGAUGGAGUAGCCUAUAUAUAUUUAGCUCAUUUGAAAUAAAUGGAAAAAAAUAGAGCUACAUCUUAACAUUUCCAUUUGCAUGCCUUCUUUUGAAACAUCUAUCAUAAAUGUAUAGUAGAAAGAUGAAAAUACCUAUUUUUAGAUGCAAGAAGAUAUGCCUAAUUUUUCUGCACCAUGUUAUUUCCAUCUAAUUACUAAUAAUCACACAUAACCAUAUAUAUAUGAAAAUAAAUGUACAAAUUCAAGACACACAUUCCAAAUGAGGAUAUAGCUGUUAUCUCCUUUUAACAUGCUUCAAUACUCAUAUUCACCUCACUGCUUAUCUCUGGGAGAUAUUCUAUGACUUUAAGGAAGAAAUAGUAACUUAGGAGUAAAUCAUAGUGACUUUGGGGAAUUAGUUCCAUGAAUUUUCAAAUAAAAAGCCAUUUUGUGUGUGUGUAUGUGUGUGUGUGGUGUGUGUGUGUUCUCCAUUCAUCUGCAAGCCCCUCUCACAGUACAGGAAACAUUGUCUUCUCUCCUACCUAUCUCACACGCAUCACACGAUCCAUCUGGUAUUUUAUCCUGCCUUAGUAUCACUCCAGGGUAGGGCCAACAAUAAAAGGUAAAAUAAUGAAAAUAAUAAUGACUAACACCAUUGAGUUCUUACAUGCACAAUGUAUUUGCUUCUAGUGUUUUGCAUUUAUUAUCAUGUUUAAUUCUCAGACAACUUUAUGAAGUUGAUAAUAUUAUCACUAUCCUAAGAAAACUAAAGAACAACUUGUGAGGCAAGAUUAAUAUUGAUCUGGGUAAGAACAAUGGGAUAGAAAGAGGAGAAAUAACUCUGUGAAGCUGAUCUUCUUUUUAUUUAUU